GACGAACGCUGGCGGCGUGCUUAACACAUGCAAGUCGAACGGAAAGGCCCUGCUUUUGUGGGGUGCUCGAGUGGCGAACGGGUGAGUAACACGUGAGUAACCUGCCCUUGACUUUGGGAUAACUUCAGGAAACUGGGGCUAAUACCGGAUAGGAGCUCCUGCUGCAUGGUGGGGGUUGGAAAGUUUCGGCGGUUGGGGAUGGACUCGCGGCUUAUCAGCUUGUUGGUGGGGUAGUGGCUUACCAAGGCUUUGACGGGUAGCCGGCCUGAGAGGGUGACCGGCCACAUUGGGACUGAGAUACGGCCCAGACUCAUACGGGAGGCAGCAGUGGGGAAUAUUGCACAAUGGGCGGAAGCCGGAUGCAGCAACGCCGCGUGCGGGAUGACGGCCUUCGGGUUGUAAACCGCUUUCGCCUGUGACGAAGCGUGAGUGACGGUAAUGGGUAAAGAAGCACCGGCUAACUACGG
RNAcentral lists this ribosomal RNA (467 nucleotides) under uncultured bacterium. RNAcentral describes it as "partial 16S ribosomal RNA". It matches the Rfam family "Bacterial small subunit ribosomal RNA", at positions 28 to 506 of the family's 1533-position model. The record is from RNAcentral.